Molecule: ribosomal RNA, 253 nt
Filed under: uncultured bacterium
Lineage: Bacteria
Description: partial 16S ribosomal RNA
Rfam family: Bacterial small subunit ribosomal RNA
Source: RNAcentral
UACGGGGGGGGCAAGCGUUGUUCGGAAUUACUGGGCGUAAAGGGCUCGUAGGCGGCCAACUAAGUCGGACGUGAAAUCCCUCGGCUCAACCGGGGAACUGCGUCCGAUACUGGAUGGCUUGAGUUCGGGAGAGGGAUGCGGAAUUCCAGGUGUAGCGGUGAAAUGCGUAGAUAUCUGGAGGAACACCGGUGGCGAAGGCGGCAUCCUGGACCGAUACUGAUGCUGAGGAGCGAAAGCCAGGGGAGCAAACGGG